This 22-nucleotide microRNA is filed under the name Apis mellifera (honey bee). RNAcentral's name for it is "ame-miR-927b-5p". Its record names the gene ame-miR-927b-5p. The record is from miRBase by way of RNAcentral. RNAcentral also lists the same sequence under 1 other name. Lineage: Eukaryota; Metazoa; Arthropoda; Insecta; Hymenoptera; Apidae.
UUUUAGAAUUUGUACGCUCUGU